RNAcentral lists this ribosomal RNA (490 nucleotides) under uncultured bacterium. RNAcentral's name for it is "partial 16S ribosomal RNA". It matches the Rfam family "Bacterial small subunit ribosomal RNA", at positions 30 to 507 of the family's 1533-position model. The record is from RNAcentral.
AUUGAACGCUGGCGGCAGGCUUAACACAUGCAAGUCGAGCGGUAGCACAGGGGAGCUUGCUCCCUGGGUGACGAGCGGCGGACGGGUGAGUAAUGUCUGGGAAACUGCCUGAUGGAGGGGGAUAACUACUGGAAACGGUAGCUAAUACCGCAUAACGUCGCAAGACCAAAGAGGGGGACCUUCUGGCCUCUUGCCAUCAGAUGUGCCCAGAUGGGAUUAGCUAGUAGGUGGGGUAAAGGCUCACCUAGGCGACGAUCCCUAGCUGGUCUGAGAGGAUGAGCAGCCACACUGGAACUGAGACACGGUCCAGACUCCUACGGGAGGCAGCAGUGGGGAAUAUUGCACAAUGGGCGCAAGCCUGAUGCAGCCAUGCCGCGUGUGUGAAGAAGGCCUUCGGGUUGUAAAGCACUUUCAGCGAGAAGGAAGGUGAUGAGCUUAAUACGCUCAUCAAUUGACGUUACUCACAGAAGAAGCACCGGCUAACUCCGUG